This 498-nucleotide ribosomal RNA is filed under the name uncultured bacterium. RNAcentral's name for it is "partial 16S ribosomal RNA". It matches the Rfam family "Bacterial small subunit ribosomal RNA", at positions 28 to 523 of the family's 1533-position model. The record is from RNAcentral.
GAUGAACGCUGGCGGCGUGCCUAAUACAUGCAAGUCGAACGCUUCACUUCGGUGAAGAGUGGCGAACGGGUGAGUAAUACAUAAGUAACCUGGCAUCUACAGGGGGAUAACUGAUGGAAACGUCAGCUAAGACCGCAUAGGUGUAGAGAUCGCAUGAACUCUAUAUGAAAAGUGCUACGGGACUGGUAGACGAUGGACUUAUGGCGCAUUAGCUGGUUGGUAGGGUAACGGCCUACCAAGGCGACGAUGCGUAGGCGACCUGAGAGGGUGACCGGCCACGCUGGGACUGAGACACGGCGCAGGCUCCGACGGGAGGCAGCAGGAUGGAAUUUUCGGAAAUGGCGGAAACGGUGACCGAGCAACGCCGCGUGGAGGAAGAAGUAAUUCGUUAUGUAAACUUCUGUCAUAGAAGAAGAACGGUGGAUAUAGGGAAUGAUAUCCAAGUGACGGUACUCUAUAAGAAAGCCUCGGCUAACUACGUGCCAGCCGCCGCAGUAA